GACGAACGCUGGCGGCGUGCCUAACACAUGCAAGUCAGGGAUUGAAUGAAGGGUAGCAAUACUUUUUUAUUCAGUACCGGCGCACGGUGAGUAACACGUAGGUAAUCUACCCUCAGGCGGGGAACAGCAUCGAGAAAUCGGUGCUAAUACCGCAUGACGCAACGAGACCACAUGAUCUUGUUGUUAAAGAUCCGCAAGGAUCACCCAAGGAUGAACCUGCGCCCGAUUAGCUAGUUGGCGGAGUAAUAGCCCACCAAGGCAACGAUCGGUAGCCGACCUGAGAGGGUGAUCGGCCACACUGGGAACUGGAGACACGGGUCCAGACUCCUACGGGAGGCAGCAGUGAGGAAUAUUGGUCAAUGGCCGAAAGGCUGAACCAGCAAC
This 384-nucleotide ribosomal RNA is filed under the name uncultured bacterium. Its description in RNAcentral is "bacterial SSU rRNA". It matches the Rfam family "Bacterial small subunit ribosomal RNA", at positions 28 to 395 of the family's 1533-position model. The record is from RNAcentral.